AGAGCGAACGCUGGCGGCAGGCCUAACACAUGCAAGUCGAGCGCCCGUAGCAAUACGGGAGCGGCAGACGGGAUAGUAACACGUGGGAACGCGCCCUUCGGUUCGGAAUAACUCAGGGAAACUUGAGCUAAUACCGAAUACGCCCUUACGGGGAAAGAUUUAUUGCCGAAGGAACGGCCCGCGUCCGAUUAGCUAGUUGGUGAGGUAAUGGCUCACCAAGGCUACGAUCGGUAGCUGGUCUGAGAGGAUGAUCAGCCACACUGGGACUGAGACACGGCCCAGACUCCUACGGGAGGCAGCAGUAGGGAAUCUUGCGCAAUGGGCGAAAGCCUGACGCAGCCAUGCCGCGUGAAUGAUGAAGGUCUUAGGAUUGUAAAAUUCUUUCAGCGGGGACGAUAAUGACGGUACCCGCAGAAGAAGCCCCGGCUAACUUCGUGCCAGCAGCCGC
This 448-nucleotide ribosomal RNA is filed under the name uncultured bacterium. RNAcentral's name for it is "SSU rRNA". It matches the Rfam family "Bacterial small subunit ribosomal RNA", at positions 26 to 518 of the family's 1533-position model. The record is from RNAcentral.